RNAcentral lists this ribosomal RNA (503 nucleotides) under uncultured bacterium. RNAcentral describes it as "bacterial SSU rRNA". It matches the Rfam family "Bacterial small subunit ribosomal RNA", at positions 594 to 1095 of the family's 1533-position model. The record is from RNAcentral.
GUGAAAUCCCGGGGCUCAACCCCGGAACUGCAUCCGAUACUGCCGUGCUUUGAGGGUUGGAGAGGUAGCUGGAAUUCUUGGUGUAGCAGUGAAAUGCGUGGAUAUCAAGAGGAACACUCGUGGCGAAAGCGAGCUACUGGACAACACCUGACGCUGAGGCUCGAAGGCCAGGGUAGCGAAAGGGAUUAGAUACCCCUGUAGUCCUGGCAGUAAACGGUGCACGCUUGGUGUGAGGGGAAUCGACCCCCCUUGUGCCGGAGCAAACGCGUUAAGCGUGCCGCCUGGGAAGUACGGUCGCAAGACUAAAACUCAAAGAAAUUGACGGGGACCCGCACAAGCGGUGGAGUAUGUGGCUUAAUUCGAUGCAACGCGAAGAACCUUACCAAGGCUUGACAUGGAUUUCUAAGCACGUGAAAGCGUGUGACCCUUCGGGGGACUUCCACAGGUGCUGCAUGGCCGUCGUCAGCUCGUGUCGUGAGAUGUUGGGUUAAGUCCCGCAACGA